This 223-nucleotide long non-coding RNA is filed under the name Elaeis guineensis (African oil palm). RNAcentral's name for it is "long non-coding RNA (EGUI_LNC059284)". The record is from RNAcentral. Lineage: Eukaryota; Viridiplantae; Streptophyta; Magnoliopsida; Arecales; Arecaceae.
CGUAAAUCCCCUCUUGUUCUCCUCCUUUCCGACUUUUUCCCAACUCACCAGUGCCUCCUCCUAACCGACGAUGACCCCCCUCUCUAGCGCAUCCUUCUCUACCUUCCCCACUCCCCACACGCCCUCCUUCCUGACGUCCCAACUCCAUCAGUGCCUCAUGUACUGUGGCCCCAAGCCCACCACACCGGCCUCGCCUCGCCUCGCCUGUGGCCACCCCAACCCC